RNAcentral lists this ribosomal RNA (579 nucleotides) under uncultured bacterium. RNAcentral's name for it is "bacterial SSU rRNA". It matches the Rfam family "Bacterial small subunit ribosomal RNA", at positions 338 to 916 of the family's 1533-position model. The record is from RNAcentral.
CCUACGGGAGGCAGCAGUAAGGAAUAUUGGUCAAUGGGCGCAAGCCUGAACCAGCCAUGCCGCGUGCAGGAUGACGGCCCUCUGGGUUGUAAACUGCUUUUAUACGGGAAGAACAGCAUCUACGUGUAGGUGUUUGACGGUACUGUAAGAAUAAGGACCGGCUAACUUCGUGCCAGCAGCCGCGGUAAUACGAAGGGUCCAAGCGUUAUCCGGAUUUAUUGGGUUUAAAGGGUGCGUAGGCGGCUUUUUAAGUCAGUGGUGAAAGCCUGAUGCUCAACAUCAGAACUGCCAUUGAUACUGAAGAGCUUGAGUACAGUUGAGGUUGGCGGAAUGUGUCAUGUAGCGGUGAAAUGCUUAGAUAUGACACAGAACACCGAUUGCGAAGGCAGCUAGCUAAGCUGUUACUGACGCUGAUGCACGAAAGCGUGGGGAGCAAACAGGAUUAGAUACCCUGGUAGUCCACGCCCUAAACGUUGAUAACUCGUUGUUAGCGAUAUACUGUUAGCGACCAAGCGAAAGCAUUAAGUUAUCCACCUGGGAAGUACGGUCGCAAGAUUGAAACUUAAAGGAAAUUGACGG